UACAGGUGGUGCAUGGUUGUCGUCAGCUCGUGUCGUGAGAUGUUGGGUUAAGUCCCGCAACGAGCGCAACCCUUGUCUUUAGUUACCAUCAUUCAGUUGGGGACUCUAGAGAGACUGCCGGUGAUAAACCGGAGGAAGGUGGGGAUGACGUCAAAUCAUCAUGCCCCUUAUGGCCUGGGCUACAAACGUAAUACAAUGGCGUAUACAAAGGGAUGCGAAAGGGCGACCUGGAGCAAAACUCACAAAGUACGUCUCAGUUCAGAUUGGAGUCUGCAACUCGACUCCAUGAAGGCGGAAUCGCUAGUAAUCGCGGAUCAGCAUGCCGCGGUGAAUACGUUCUCGGGGUUU
RNAcentral lists this ribosomal RNA (348 nucleotides) under uncultured Erysipelothrix sp. Its description in RNAcentral is "bacterial SSU rRNA". It matches the Rfam family "Bacterial small subunit ribosomal RNA", at positions 1033 to 1382 of the family's 1533-position model. Lineage: Bacteria; Bacillati; Bacillota; Erysipelotrichia; Erysipelotrichales; Erysipelotrichaceae. The record is from RNAcentral.